GAUGAAGAACGCAGCGAAAUGCGAUAAGUAAUGCGAAUUGCAGGAUUCCGUGAGUCAUCGAAUCUUUGAACGCACAUUGCGCCCUUUGGCAUUCCGAAGGGCAUGCCUGUUCGAGCGUCAUUUAUCAACCCUCAAGCCCGGCUUGCGGUUGGGUCCCGCCGUGGGCGACCACGGCGGACCCGAAAGGUAAUGGCGGUGCCCGUGGGGCCCUGGACGCAGCGAGCUUCUCGGCACGCGUCCCGGCGGUCCCCGGCGCCGUCUCCACCAAUCCACCACGCAGAUUGACCUCGGAUCAGGUAGGGAUACCCGCUGAACUUAAGCAUAUCAAUAAGCGGAGGA
Molecule: unclassified non-coding RNA, 339 nt
Filed under: soil metagenome
Description: partial contains 5.8S ribosomal RNA, internal transcribed spacer 2, and large subunit ribosomal RNA
Rfam family: 5.8S ribosomal RNA (bases 1-120)
Source: RNAcentral